RNAcentral lists this ribosomal RNA (1207 nucleotides) under metagenome. RNAcentral's name for it is "bacterial SSU rRNA". It matches the Rfam family "Bacterial small subunit ribosomal RNA", at positions 8 to 1237 of the family's 1533-position model. The record is from RNAcentral.
AGAGUUUGAUCCUGGCUCAGGACGAACGCUGGCGGCGCGCCUAACACAUGCAAGUCGAACGAGCGAGAGAGAGCUUGCUUUCUCGAGCGAGUGGCGAACGGGUGAGUAACGCGUGAGGAACCUGCCUCAAAGAGGGGGACAACAGUUGGAAACGACUGCUAAUACCGCAUAAGCCCACGGGUCGGCAUCGACCAGAGGGAAAAGGAGCAAUCCGCUUUGAGAUGGCCUCGCGUCCGAUUAGCUAGUUGGUGAGGUAAUGGCCCACCAAGGCGACGAUCGGUAGCCGGACUGAGAGGUUGAACGGCCACAUUGGGACUGAGACACGGCCCAGACUCCUACGGGAGGCAGCAGUGGGGAAUAUUGCACAAUGGGGGAAACCCUGAUGCAGCGACGCCGCGUGGAGGAAGAAGGUCUUCGGAUUGUAAACUCCUGUUGUUGGGGAAGAUAAUGACGGUACCCAACAAGGAAGUGACGGCUAACUACGUGCCAGCAGCCGCGGUAAAACGUAGGUCACAAGCGUUGUCCGGAAUUACUGGGUGUAAAGGGAGCGCAGGCGGGAAGACAAGUUGGAAGUGAAAUCUAUGGGCUCAACCCAUAAACUGCCUUCAAAACUGUUUUUCUUGAGUAGUGCAGAGGUAGGCGGAAUUCCCGGUGUAGCGGUGGAAUGCGUAGAUAUCGGGAGGAACACCAGUGGCGAAGGCGGCCUACUGGGCACCAACUGACGCUGAGGCUCGAAAGUGUGGGUAGCAAACAGGAUUAGAUACCCUGGUAGUCCACACCGUAAACGAUGAUUACUAGGUGUUGGAGGAUUGACCCCUUCAGUGCCGCAGUUAACACAAUAAGUAAUCCACCUGGGGAGUACGACCGCAAGGUUGAAACUCAAAGGAAUUGACGGGGGCCCGCACAAGCAGUGGAGUAUGUGGUUUAAUUCGACGCAACGCGAAGAACCUUACCAAGUCUUGACAUCCCUUGACAGACAUAGAAAUAUGUAAUCUCUUCGGAGCAAGGAGACAGGUGGUGCAUGGUUGUCGUCAGCUCGUGUCGUGAGAUGUUGGGUUAAGUCCCGCAACGAGCGCAACCCUUAUGGUCAGUUACUACGCAAGAGGACUCUGGCCAGACUGCCGUUGACAAAACGGAGGAAGGUGGGGAUGACGUCAAAUCAUCAUGCCCUUUAUGACUUGGGCUACACACGUACUACAAUGGCGUU